AGAGUUUGAUCCUGGCUCAGGAUGAACGCUGGCGGCGUGCUUAACACAUGCAAGUCGAACGAAGCACCUUGAUUUGAUUCUUCGGAUGAAGAUCCUGGUGACUGAGUGGCGGACGGGUGAGUAACGCGUGGGUAACCUGCCUCAUACAGGGGGAUAACAGUUAGAAAUGACUGCUAAUACCGCAUAAGACCACAGCACCGCAUGGUGCAGGGGUAAAAACUCCGGUGGUAUGAGAUGGACCCGCGUCUGAUUAGGUAGUUGGUGGGGUAACGGCCUACCAAGCCGACGAUCAGUAGCCGACCUGAGAGGGUGACCGGCCACAUUGGGACUGAGACACGGCCCAAACUCCUACGGGAGGCAGCAGUGGGGAAUAUUGCACAAUGGGGGAAACCCUGAUGCAGCGACGCCGCGUGAGCGAUGAAGUAUUUCGGUAUGUAAAGCUCUAUCAGCAGGGAAGAAAAUGACGGUACCUGACUAAGAAGCACCGGCUAAAUACGUGCCAGCAGCCGCGGUAAUACGUAUGGUGCAAGCGUUAUCCGGAUUUACUGGGUGUAAAGGGAGCGUAGACGGAGUGGCAAGUCUGAUGUGAAAACCCGGGGCUCAACCCCGGGACUGCAUUGGAAACUGUCAAUCUAGAGUACCGCAGAGGUAGGCGGAAUUCCCGGUGUAGCGGUGGAAUGCGUAGAUAUCGGGAGGAACACCAGUGGCGAAGGCGGCCUACUGGGCACCAACUGACGCUGAGGCUCGAAAGUGUGGGUAGCAAACAGGAUUAGAUACCCUGGUAGUCCACACUGUAAACGAUGAUUACUAGGUGUUGGAGGAUUGACCCCUUCAGCGCCGCAGUUAACACAAUAAGUAAUCCACCUGGGGAGUACGACCGCAAGGUUGAAACUCAAAGGAAUUGACGGGGGCCCGCACAAGCAGUGGAGUAUGUGAUUUAAUUCGACGCAACGCGAAGAACCUUACCAAGUCUUGACAUCCUGCGACGCACAUAGAAAUAUGUGUUUCCUUCGGGACGCAGAGACAGGUGGUGCAUGGUUGUCGUCAGCUCGUGUCGUGAGAUGUUGGGUUAAGUCCCGCAACGAGCGCAACCCUUAUGGUCAGUUACUACGCAAGAGGACUCUGGCCAGACUGCCGUUGACAAAACGGAGGAAGGUGGGGAUGACGUCAAAUCAUCAUGCCCUUUAUGACUUGGGCUACACACGUACUACAAUGGCGUUAAACAAAGAGAAGCAAGACCGCGAGGUGGAGCAAAACUCAGAAACAACGUCCCAGUUCGGACUGCAGGCUGCAACUCGCCUGCACGAAGUCGGAAUUGCUAGUAAUCGCAGAUCAGCAUGCUGCGGUGAAUACGUUCCCGGGCCUUGUACACACCGCCCGUCACACCAUGAGAGCCGGGGGGACCCGAAGUCGGUAGUCUAACCGCAAGGAGGACGCCGCCGAAGGUAAAACUGGUGAUUGGGGUGAAGUCGUAACAAGGUA
This 1482-nucleotide ribosomal RNA is filed under the name metagenome. RNAcentral describes it as "bacterial SSU rRNA". It matches the Rfam family "Bacterial small subunit ribosomal RNA". The record is from RNAcentral.